This 253-nucleotide ribosomal RNA is filed under the name uncultured bacterium. Its description in RNAcentral is "partial 16S ribosomal RNA". It matches the Rfam family "Bacterial small subunit ribosomal RNA", at positions 524 to 776 of the family's 1533-position model. The record is from RNAcentral.
UACGUAGGGGGCUAGCGUUGUCCGGAUUUAUUGGGCGUAAAGAGCGUGUAGGCGGCCAGGUAGGUCUGCUGUGAAAACUCGAGGCUCAACCUCGAGACGUCGGCGGAAACCAUCUGGCUAGAGUCCGGAAGAGGAGAGUGGAAUUCCUGGUGUAGCGGUGAAAUGCGCAGAUAUCAGGAAGAACACCAGUGGCGAAGGCGGCUCACUGGCCCGGUACUGACGCUGAGAUACGAAAGCGUGGGGAGCAAACAGG